GGCUCUCAAAAGCAGCGCCAGUCACAUAGGGCUAGCAGCGACCAAAACGGGCACACAACUGACCGGUCCAACUGAUGCAGAACGAGAGCCGAUCAUGCACAAAAUGCCACUAAAGCAGUCGGGAGUUACAAGGGAGACCAAAGAUUCAACUGAAUCACAAGAAAUAGCACAAGGACCCAAUUUGACACCCGCAACAAUGUGUUGUCAUGAUUUGUUGAUGAGGAAUGUUGUGCUUUCUGCCUACACCCCAAUGUGCGUGAGUACUGCUGCUAGGGGGCACACAUGCAUAGCUGCUAGAAACACCUUUCUCUGACCCACCCUGCUCUAUCAAUUGCAGGACUAUACUGCAGCCCAGCUUCCAGUUGAUGCGGGAGGCACUAUAGGGCCCUACUGCCUAACACUUGCUGACGAGGACACCCUUGCGAAGAAUGAGAUUGUGGAUCCUACCAUCGGCCUCCAGAAUAAGGAUGGAAU
Long non-coding RNA from Ixodes scapularis (black-legged tick), 474 nucleotides. RefSeq lists it as uncharacterized. The record is from RefSeq and is a predicted model, not a curated record. Lineage: Eukaryota; Metazoa; Arthropoda; Arachnida; Ixodida; Ixodidae. The transcript has 3 exons.